Small nuclear RNA from Delphinapterus leucas (beluga whale), 107 nucleotides. Lineage: Eukaryota; Metazoa; Chordata; Mammalia; Artiodactyla; Monodontidae. The record is from Ensembl.
GUGCUCGUUUCAGCAGCACACAUACUAAAACUGGAACGAUACAGAGAAGAUUAGCAUGGCCCCUGCACAAGGAUGACAAGCAAAUUCGUGAAGCGCUCCACUUUUUU